CAGGUCGGCCGGGAGAUCGCGGCUUCGCUAUGUCGAAGUCGAGGAAAGUCCGCGCUCCACAGGGCAAGAUGCCGGGUAACCCCCGGGGCGGGGUAACCUGCCGGAUCGGGCCACAGAAACAUACCGCCCUCACGGGCAAGGGUGAAACGGUGGUGUAAGAGACCACCGGCGUCCGCAGCAAUGCGGCGGCCAGGCAACCCCCAUCUGGAGCAAGGCCAAGCAGGCGCAAGCGCCCCUUGUGGGCGCAGGAAGCGGCUCGUUUCCUUUGAGCGUCGGGUAGGCUGCUUGAGCGCAUCGGAGACGGUGCGCCUAGAGAGAUGAUCUCCAAAACCGAGGCAGUCCCCGCGUGGGAUACCCCUUGGUUGAACAGAACGCGGCUUAUAGGCUGACCUGGGGC
RNAcentral lists this RNase P RNA (397 nucleotides) under Levilinea saccharolytica. RNAcentral's name for it is "Bacterial RNase P class A". It matches the Rfam family "Bacterial RNase P class A". Rfam says of the family: Ribonuclease P (RNase P) is a ubiquitous endoribonuclease, found in archaea, bacteria and eukarya as well as chloroplasts and mitochondria. The record is from Rfam by way of RNAcentral. Lineage: Bacteria; Bacillati; Chloroflexota; Anaerolineae; Anaerolineales; Anaerolineaceae.